Molecule: ribosomal RNA, 468 nt
Filed under: uncultured bacterium
Lineage: Bacteria
Description: partial 16S ribosomal RNA
Rfam family: Bacterial small subunit ribosomal RNA
Source: RNAcentral
GAUGAACGCUGGCGGCGUGCUUAACACAUGCAAGUCGAACGGAAAGGCGCUGCUUUUGUGGGGUGCUCGAGUGGCGAACGGGUGAGUAACACGUGAGUAACCUGCCCUUGACUUUGGGAUAACUUCAGGAAACUGGGGCUAAUACCGGAUAGGAGCUCCUGCUGCAUGGUGGGGGUUGGAAAGUUUCGGCGGUUGGGGAUGGACUCGCGGCUUAUCAGCUUGUUGGUGGGGUAGUGGCUUACCAAGGCUUUGGCGGAUAGUCGGCCUGAGAGGGUGACCGGCCACAUUGGGACUGAGAUACGGCCCAGACUCCUACGGGAGGCAGCAGUGGGGAAUAUUGCACAAUGGGCGGGAGCCUGAUGCAGCGACGCCGCGUGCGGGAUGACGGCCUUCGGGUUGUAAACCGCUUUCGCCUGUGACGAAGCGUGAGUGACGGUAAUGGGUAAAGAAGCACCGGCUAACUACGUG